AUUAGCCAAGAAAAAAUGCUGCUGUUUCCUUUUUCGGACACAGAUUUUAGUCACAGAAACUUCAAGUGGAUGAAAUCAAGAUGAAGUGCAAUUAGACAUUUAGUUUGAUAUGUCAUUCCAUAAAGCAGAAAGACAUUUAGUUUGAUAUGUCAUUCCAUAAAGCAGAAAGACAUUUAGUUUGAUAUGUCAUUCCAUAAAGCAGAAAGACAUUUAGUUUGAUAUGUCAUUCCACAAAGCAGACAGACAUUUAGUUUGAUAUGUCAUUCCAUAAAGCAGAAAGACAUUUAGUUUGAUAUGUCAUUCCAUAAAGCAGACAGACAUUCCACUUAGCUUAUGGUAAUUACGUUUUUCUUUUAAAAUGUCUUCACUGUUAAUCCUCUUGUCAGAAAGACAUUUCACCUCAGUUUUGUCUAGUUUUAAUGUCUCUGGUCACUUCUGAACCGAUAGUCCUUGUCUGCAAAUGUUGUGUAUUUGUUUUUGAUGUCACAUGAUGUGCUCCAACACAGAUCCAAGCAUUAAUAUCCCAGGCUCACCGAUACUGUGUGAGGUAACUGUGUGUUAGAGCAUCUAUCUGCUGGCCUGUCUGUCCUUGUAUCCUGGGCUUUGAGCUCUGAGGUGAAGACUGGUGAUUGUGUGUGGUGACAUCCAAUGCCUUCUAACGGACUUGAGUCCCUCAUCCACGCUAUUUAUAGACGGCUGUGUCAAAUCUAGUUCAUACACCCCUUCCAACCCCACCACCCUACUGCCUCCAGAACAUUUCUGUUGAGUGGAGCCUCCAAGGACACACGGUUCACUGAGGAUAAAACCUCAGACAGUCUUUGACAACAAGCCAUGAGAGAAUGUUCCUGAAGGAGAGGGGCGGUCCGUUAGGCCUGAUCAGGGCAGAGUCACAUGCCAUUUGAUGCAGUCAUAACAACCAAUUUGACAUUUUGUUGAAAUAUAAAUGUUUUUAAAUACGGUAGUGGUUAAAUGCCAUAUAGAGAUGAGCUGGAUGAUUUUCCACAGUGGAGCAGUAGACAUUUAGCCAUAAACCGCUCAAUACUUAUUAAUUUAUUUUUUACAGUAAUUUACGUUUGUUACAUUUUUUAUGCUAUAAGCAAUACAGUUAAACAGAAUACCUGAAAAUGUCAUGUAGUUUAAGGGUGUGCUAUGCAGUAAACUCUGAAGUAUUCUGCUCUUCAGUGACCAAGUGUACCUACUACGGGGUAGGACAGGUUUGUAAUGUGUAUAUAAGAAGGUGGCUGAUGCAGUCAUUGUACACUGAUCUCUCUGAGUACUAUAGCUUAUCAUUGCCCACCAUUGGGUGUCUGAAUAUAGUGGAUUUAUUUUGUUUUUGUUCAGACCCUUAGUUGUCACUAACCUAAGUUCAGCACAGUGUUUUGUUCCAGUCAGCUCAGCCUAUUACCUCCACCUUACGCUGCCAGGUAGUACAGGCCAAAUCGUGACCAGAGAAGGGUAUGCAUGUGUAACUCAAAUUUUUAUGUAAAUUUGUCAUUGACGUCUAUGGAUUUGUGCUGAAAUUCAAAUUAUGUGCAUGGAUAUCCAGUUAGAUUUUGGCCUUACGAUCUCUCUUGGUCACGUGUAGCAAUCCAUUGGUUAGAUAUGGUAUGAAUGUUACGGUGUGUAUUUCAGCCCUGUAGGGUCAGAGUCUUCUCUUUGGUGAACUUUUACUCUCCAAAAUGUACUGCCUUACCAAGGGCUCUCAGCUGGGCCUGUCUCACAUUUUAUAGGAGAUGGUGUGGAGAGUGCAGAUGUUCUGAAAAAGGAUGCUGUAAACAGCCUGCCUGUGUCUGUGCACUGUUGUCAAAUGUUUUGUGAAUGGGUUGCAUCUCAUGUCCCACCUCCCUGGGGGCUCUUCUAGAAAGUAGGAUCAAUGAGUUAGCCAGCGAACAGUCCCCCAAAAAACAGGAAGAACUGCAUUUUUUUCUAGAUAUAUGAACUUUGACAUUUGUAAUGGUAUAAUUGACUUGACAACCAACAAUCCAUAUUCGGGUUUAGUUUUCUAAAUAAAAAUCAAGAGAUGUAUUUGACUGUUUAUCAAAGUUACCUGGCUACGGUAAUGAUCCUGCUUCCUGGAACACCCCACAGCUCAUCAACACACUCUUUCCGCCAGAUAUUCUUACUUCAGUAAAAUAUUAUUAACAAACAGCACUUCUGUGUCUUACCACGUCCUCUCCUCCCCUUGCCUUGCCACACACCAUGUGGAUCAAACACAGUAUUCUGGUCUGGGACAACCAUUCUAGGUGCAAAGCAGUGCCUCCUGUUUAUUUACCUCUUCCUCUCUGUCUUGAACACGGUAUGAGGCAGUGGCUGUAUGACCACUCUGACUCUCAGCAGACAGUCAGGUGGACAGGCACAUUAGCAGCACGCCAUCUGUUACACUCAGACUAGCAUCGUUCUCAGACUUCUGCUCGGAGCGUGAAAGAGCUACUUCAGCCGUUUUUUAGGUUCUUCUCUUGACUCUAACCAUCGUAAGAAAGGGGAAACAUUUGACCUGUACGUUUUUGACCUCACUCUUAUUACAGAGUCAAAGAAAAUUGCACUAAUUUGCCAUCCUUUAUAGUAUUAUAAAAUUAACGGUUAGUUAAUUGAAGUUUUUAAUUAUUAGCGCUAAACACAAAACCCAAUGAAACAAUCACUUGUCAGUUGUGCAUGUUUGUAGAGAUAAUGUUUUGUAUGGCUAUUAUCAAGCUUGUCAAUAAUGCCUUAAGAUCUGUACAAUGUGUUAAUGGAAUGAUGCUUAUAAGUGACCCAGUUUCCCUGUUUUUCUGUAGCUGCAAAGGUGGAUCAGUUCACUCUUGUUGUAUUGACCCCUCUUGGCACUCUCCUGGUGUUUUAUUCAUAAGCAGAAAGGCAUUUGGAAAUGGACUGUAUCUCCAGAUAGGGAGAGGUUACAGUGAGGGAUCAUGUUAGGGUGAGUCCCUAUCGCUGCUUGAAAGCUGGACCAGUAACUGACUCACUGUUGUUUUUUUUACACACACACACCACCCUCUGUUAAUGUGAGUGCAUGUUGGGAGUAGGUCCCUGAAGGUGAGAGGUUGUGCUCAAUGUAUUUUUGUUCUGGUCCUGUCUGAUCUAUUUGGGAGAGAAUGUGAGGCUUUUCAAACCAGUGACAACUUUCCUUUAUUGGUAACUGUAUGGUCUGUUUUUGUUUUGUGAUUAUGGAAAAAGGCUUUAUGACCCCUGUAUAAAGUAGCCCUGUUGGUCUGAUCUUGUAUGACUGAGGUAAAUAGACUGGAUGGGAUGGUGUUGUUGCCAGGCACUAGAGAUGCAGAAUAGAAUUAAAUCAGGAAGAUGAAUGGUUAAAAGUUAAUGGAGUCGUUGGGUAUUUUCAGAUUUUACAUUUGUAUUUUGGCACUAAAGUUACUGCUUUUUACGUGACAUUUGACUAGUUUUAAAAGAAACAGCAUCUUUUUUUAAAGUAUAAAAUCUGCUAAAUAUAUGCAAUGAUGUAUGUAAUAUUCAAUCCUCAAAUAUAAUCCAGGUUGUAUAAACUUUUGUAUAGUGAGUUUUAAUAUCGUAUGGCCGUACCAAUAUGUAUUGAUUCGUAUCAAAAGCCUUAGUUGUCUAUCCAAAGUGCUCCCUUAGAAUACAGUACCCUACACCUACCUGAACUUUACAAAGCAUUAAUAACUAUAUUUUGUUGCGUUUUUUUAUUUGUACCCUUUUUGAAUAAAAAUAGAUUUGUACUGUAUAUUUGUACCGCUGUGAACUACUUAAGGCUGUUUUGUUUUUGUUUUGCUGUUUUAAUUCUAUGUACUUAAGGACACAAAGAUAUUGUAUUUUUAUUGUUACAGCUAACUUCUUGGAGACAUUGCAUUUAUCAUGUUUGUUAAGUAAACACAAUAAUAUAUAUAUAUAUACUUACUAUUA
Long non-coding RNA from Oncorhynchus tshawytscha (Chinook salmon), 3873 nucleotides. NCBI's taxonomy places the organism in Eukaryota, Metazoa, Chordata, Actinopteri, Salmoniformes, Salmonidae. The record is from Ensembl.